GAGUUUGAUCAUGGCUCAGAAUCAACGCUGGCGGCGUGCCUAACACAUGCAAGUCGAACGCGAAAGUGGAGCAAUCCAUGAGUAGAGUGGCAAACGGGUGAGUAACACGUGGGUGACCUGCCUUCGAGUGGGGGAUAACGUCCCGAAAGGGACGCUAAUACCGCAUAAUAUGCUGUUCUUUAAUAGAUGGACAUCAAAGCUGGGGACCGUAAGGCCUGGCGCUUGAAGAGGGGCCCGCGCCUGAUUAGCUAGUUGGUGGGGUAAUGGCUCACCAAGGCAACGAUCAGUAUCCGGCCUGAGAGGGCGGACGGACACACUGGGACUGAGACACGGCCCAGACUCCUACGGGAGGCAGCAGUGGGGAAUUGUUCGCAAUGGGCGCAAGCCUGACGACGCAACGCCGCGUGGAGGAUGAAGACCUUCGGGUCGUAAACUCCUUUCGAUCGAGACGAACGGCCCAUGGGUUAAUAACUCGUGGGAGUGACGGUACCGAGAGAAGAAGCCCCGGCUAACUCCGUGCCAGCAGCCGCGGUAAUACGGGGGGGGCAAGCGUUGUUCGGAAUUACUGGGCGUAAAGGGCUCGUAGGCGGCUAACUAAGUCAGACGUGAAAUCCCUCGGCUUAACCGGGGAACUGCGUCUGAUACUGGAUGGCUUGAGUUCGGGAGAGGGAUGCGGAAUUCCAGGUGUAGCGGUGAAAUGCGUAGAUAUCUGGAGGAACACCGGUGGCGAAGGCGGCAUCCUGGACCGAUACUGACGCUGAG
Molecule: ribosomal RNA, 762 nt
Filed under: uncultured bacterium
Lineage: Bacteria
Description: bacterial SSU rRNA
Rfam family: Bacterial small subunit ribosomal RNA
Source: RNAcentral